RNAcentral lists this unclassified non-coding RNA (3444 nucleotides) under Leishmania donovani. RNAcentral describes it as "gene:LdHU3.10.1850(CDS-product:delta-12_fatty_aci d_desaturase)". Lineage: Eukaryota; Euglenozoa; Kinetoplastea; Trypanosomatida; Trypanosomatidae. The record is from RNAcentral.
CCUCACAGGAAACACAGACACAUACACACAUACAGACACGCGUGCUCUCUGCGGUCCCGCAACAUUCACACGCCCCUGCAACGGACGACAAAGUAGGAAGCACGCAAAAAGAGGCGAAGGGCCCCACCGUGCUAUCCGCAUUCUCAUCAACAUAGCCCACACACAUCUACCCCCAUACGCGUACACACAUUCCCUCGGUCCAGCCUUCUUUGCAGCCAUGAAAUCCGUGCUCAAGGCGGGGCGCGAGAAGGACGUGGACGUGGUGGUGCCGCCGAAGGAGCUUACCAUCAAGCAGAUCCAGGACCAAAUCCCCGCCAAGUACUUUGAGCGCUCGGCGGUGUGGGGCAUGUGCUACGUCUUCCGCGACAUCUUUCAGGUCCUGGCGCUGUACUUCAUCAUGUAUCGCGCAGUGAUGCCGGUGCUUUCUGCAUUCGGGGGCAUUGUGUAUGGUGUGGCUGGCGCGAACAUCGUCAGCUGGACCGUCGUCGGCGCCGUGAAGUUUGCGGCGUGGACCGUGUUCGGGAUAGCACAGGGCCUCAACGGUUUCGCUAUUUUUGUGCUCGCACACGAGUGCGGUCACCAGGCCUUCAGCUCGUACCGCUUGCUGAACAACGCCGUCGGCCUGCUGCUCGACUCCGCCAUCCUCGUCCCGUACCACAGCUGGCGCAUCAGCCAUGGCAGCCACCACAAGCACACAAACCACCUCACCAAGGACACGGUGUUUGUACCACGCAAGGAGCAGCGUGUGAUCGACCUGGUCGAGGAGACGCCGCUGGUGAUGCUCUGGAAUAUGCUUGUCAUCUUCACGUUUGGCUGGCCAGCGUACCUCGUAGCCAACAUCGCGAGUCAAGACUACGGUCGCCGCACCAACCAUUUCGAGCCUUCGUCACCGCUCUUCAACAAGGACGACGGGCCCGACAUCGUGCUCUCCAACAUCGGCAUCGUGGCUGCGCUCUUUAUCUUGGGUCUCUGCACUUACCAGUACGGCGCCUACAACGUCUUUUGCUGGUACGUCGUGCCGUACCUUUGGACAAAUUUCUGGCUGCUCUACGUCACCUACCUCCAGCACUCUGACUUGCGCAUCCCGCACUACACGCAUGCGCACUGGACGUUUGUGCGCGGCGCCAUCGCCACCGUCGACCGCGACUACGGCUUCAUCAUCAAUGAGUGGCUGCACUACAUCAACAACUCCCACGUUGUGCACCACCUCUUUAGCCAGAUGCCCUUCUACCACGCGAUCGAGGUGACGCGCCACCACAUCAAGGACAUCAUCGGCGACGCCUACGUCACGGACAGUCGCUCCCUUGUCGAGAUGCUCUGCGAGACGUGGAGAGAGUGCCGCUACGUUAUCCCGUCCGAGGGCAUCAGCGUGUUCUACAGCUUCACAGGGAAGGGUGCGUAAUACAGAAAACGCGCAUGCAAGAUGGAAAGAGAAGCGACGAUGCAGUUGCGCCGCGUGCUGUCCUGUCAAAUCGUGCCGUCGCUCGCGACGGUGAUGGCAAGGCUGCGCGUCACCAUCAUCGCAUCAUGCUCUGACCAGACCAUCGGUUCCUCUUCCGUUCUUUGUGUUUCUUCUUCCUCGUCCACACCUUUCCUUUUUCUUUCUCGAGUUCUCUCUUUUUUAGCUCUCUGUGGGACCACCUCGGCGCGGACGCCACAUCUCUCCUCCUUUGUUUAUCCUCUGUGAUGAUUACCCCGCUCCUCUUCAAUGUAUCUGCCCGUCUGCGCGCCUUCGCUCUUCCUGUUUUCCCUUUCCGUUUGCCCUGCUGACGUAGGGAUACCCCUCUCCGUGUGUGGUGUCAGGGCUCAGUACCCCGACUCUGCGUGAGGGGAAGCCAUGCACCCUCUUAACCCCUGUCGAUGUCAAGCCACCUCUGGUUGUGCCAGCGACAAUCACCCACGCGGUUGAGGAUGCCAGAGCGAUGCAUGGCUGCUGAUGUCGGCGGUGGGGUGGUGGACGGCGUUGCGUUGGAGCGGCCUGAGACAGCGAACACGCGUGUGCCAUCCACAUCAUGGGCACAGUGCCAAUGCCACUCCAAUGCAUCUUCACCCCGCCCUGGCACUGCCUGCAGGUGUGGGGCGCCUGAGCCACCUCGAGGGGGGGAUGCAUCAGGUGGCUGCCGGCACCAUGGGAGCGGCUGUGAGGCGACCUGACCUGCGAGGCAGGGGGGCGGGUAGAGUGUGAGGCAGAGGCUGCGCUGCGACAACGGGGCCGGCGUAUUGCUGUGACCCGUGCCUACGACUGAUUGGAACGACGCGAUGGGCCCAUGACAACGCCCGGGGAUAGGGUGGAGUCCGAUUCUUGCUUUAUGGCAGAAAGGAUUCGUUGACGAAAAGGACUCCAGUUUCUCGGUCCUGUUCGCCGGUCUCUUCAGGGCUCCCUCCGUCUUUUUUUCGCCGUUAGUUUCACUUCGAAUGUGUAUGUCUUUUGAUUGGUGACUGUAAACGGAGAGGGAGGAAGGGCAUGGUGCGCGUCCCUUUCUCCGUUUCUUCUCCCCGCCCUCCUUCCGCAGCCCUCCUUUCCGCUGACUAGGUCCGUGGAUACUCCUCUGCACGAAAAAGCGGAAAAACAGCGGCCGUGUGACCGCAAUGAAAUUCGCAACGAGUGGAAGAGCGCUAGAGCGAUCUCCCGCAACACACACACCAGCAAACACCUGCGCACCAUGAUGGCGACCCUUUCGCGGUUUUGCCCCGGCUUCACCGUGGACAGGAGAUACAGAUCGCGUGUGCCGAUGCGAGUGUUGUCAUUUUUUGUGUGUUUUUUUUCUUUUUAUCCUUUUGCCCCUUUCUGGAGCGUGCAGAGAGGACAAGAUGGAAGGCGCGUGUGUCUACUGCGGCCUCCUCCUCUGUUCCCUCCCUCUUCGCCCUCUUCCUCUUGUCAUCCAGGCUGAGGUAUGCACUGUAUGUCCGGAGGAACACAUGCACGUGUGCGUCAACGACUCGCUGCGGUGCUGGUACGCCCCCGCAGCUGUCAGGUCGCACUUGUACCCUUGCAGGGUGACUGGCGUGCAAGAUGUUAAGGAAACGAGAGAGAAGGGCACCGCCUACUCAACGAACCCACAGGUUGUUUUGUGUGCGGGUUUCUGUGUCGUUGAGCACCUGACAACCCGCGGCUCUACGCCGCCGCCAUGCUGCUCCCUUCUUUUCAGCUUUUCUUGUUUCAUCUGUUCUUCGUUGACGCGUAAGAGGCAUCUGCAGUGAUGAUGCCUCGUAAAGUAAAUUCCACCACACCUCUCCCCACAACGAGAGAAGAAAAGGAUUUGCGCUUACCAUGAAGCGAUACAUUCCCUCUUCUUUCGACAACGAAGAAAUACGCAGCAAUAUGAGAGCUGCUUUUUCGUGCAUGUAGUACAGAAAUGUUCGUGUGCUUACUGCGCCUCUCUUGGGCAAGGCGCUUGCUUGCAGCCUUGCUCUGUUUGGCCGUGCGCCCACACAUAGACUCCC